This 460-nucleotide ribosomal RNA is filed under the name uncultured bacterium. RNAcentral's name for it is "partial 16S ribosomal RNA". It matches the Rfam family "Bacterial small subunit ribosomal RNA", at positions 338 to 795 of the family's 1533-position model. The record is from RNAcentral.
CCUACGGGAGGCAGCAGUGAGGAAUAUUGGUCAAUGGGCGAGAGCCUGAACCAGCCAAGUCGCGUGAAGGAUGACGGCCCUCCGGGUUGUAAACUUCUUUUGUCAGGGAGCAAUUGGGUCCACGCGUGGGCUUAGCGAGAGUACCUGAAGAAAAAGCAUCGGCUGACUCCGUGCCAGCAGCCGCGGUAAUACGGAGGAUGCGAGCGUAAUCCGGAUUUAUUGGGUUUAAAGGGUGCGUAGGCGGAAUCUGAAGUCAGCGGUAAACAUUCGGGGCUCAACCCCGUCGUGCCGUUGAAACUGAUGUUCUUGAGUGGGCGAGAAGUAUGCGGAAUGCGGUGUGUAGCGGUGAAAUGCAUAGAUAUCACGCAGAACUCCGAUUGCGAAGGCAGCAGACCGGCGCCCAACUGACGCUGAAGCACGAAAGCGUGGGUAGCGAACAGGAUUAGAUACCCCAGUAGUC